RNAcentral lists this ribosomal RNA (478 nucleotides) under Cedecea colo. RNAcentral describes it as "bacterial SSU rRNA". Lineage: Bacteria; Pseudomonadati; Pseudomonadota; Gammaproteobacteria; Enterobacterales; Enterobacteriaceae. The record is from RNAcentral.
UUAAUUGAAGAGUUUGAUCAUGGCUCAGAUUGAACGCUGGCGGCAGGCCUAACACAUGCAAGUCGGACGGUAACAGGAAGCAGCUUGCUGCUUYGCUGACGAGUGGCGGACGGGUGAGUAAUGUCUGGGAAACUGCCUGAUGGCGGGGGAUAACCACUGGAAACGGUGGCUAAUACCGCAUAACGUCGCAAGACCAAAGAGGGGGACCUUCGGGCCUCUUGCCAUCAGAUGUGCCCAGAUGGGAUUAGCCAGUUGGUGAGGUAACGGCUCACCAAAGCGACGAUCCCUAGCUGGUCUGAGAGGAUGACCAGCCACACUGGAACUGAGACACGGUCCAGACUCCUACGGGAGGCAGCAGUGGGGAAUAUUGCACAAUGGGCGCAAGCCUGAUGCAGCCAUGCCGCGUGUAUGAAGAAGGCCUUCGGGUUGUAAAGUACUUUCAGCGGGGAGGAAGGCAUUAAGGUUAAUAACCUUAGUG